GAUGUGAAAUCCCCGGGCUCAACCUGGGAAUUGCAUUGGAGACUGCAAGGCUAGAAUCUGGCAGAGGGGGGUAGAAUUCCACGUGUAGCAGUGAAAUGCGUAGAUAUAUGAAGGAACACCAGUGGCGAAGGCGGCCACCUGGACUGAUACUGACACUGAGGUGCGAAAGCGUGGGGAGCAAACAGGAUUAGAAACCCUUGUAGUCC
This 206-nucleotide ribosomal RNA is filed under the name Escherichia coli. RNAcentral describes it as "partial 16S ribosomal RNA". It matches the Rfam family "Bacterial small subunit ribosomal RNA", at positions 591 to 796 of the family's 1533-position model. Lineage: Bacteria; Pseudomonadati; Pseudomonadota; Gammaproteobacteria; Enterobacterales; Enterobacteriaceae. The record is from RNAcentral.